RNAcentral lists this ribosomal RNA (603 nucleotides) under Triticum aestivum (bread wheat). RNAcentral describes it as "partial small subunit ribosomal RNA". Lineage: Eukaryota; Viridiplantae; Streptophyta; Magnoliopsida; Poales; Poaceae. The record is from RNAcentral.
AUGACCAAUAGCGAAUACGAGUAUGUGAAGAGGGAAUUCGAGUUCGACCGUCACCUCCCAGCCUCCAACUGGAUCAUUGUGCGCUUCGAUGGCUGUCAUUUCCACCGUGGACAGGCCCGAUUUGGAGCGAUUCUAGUUGAUUUCGGUGGGCCGACGCGAGCUCCGCGCGUGCUCCUUGGGAGGGACGGUGACAUGCUGCUGCCGUCGCGGCUGUUCAUCGAUGGGAGGUACGUAGGCGUCGCCGACAAGGUGGUGGCGCUGCACGAGCAGUCGCGGCUCCGGUCGAUGCUCCACCGCGCAGCCGGACGCGGGCGAGGCGGCCUGCGAGGUGCGCGGCGGCGCCUGAUUCGUCGUGUGCGGAGGCAGACUGUGCGGUGUGCGGCGGCAAGGAUUCAGGGAGAUGCGGGUGAAAGGAAGAAGAAGAAGACCACGGGGAAUAUUCGGUUUUACGGUAAAUUUUUGUGGGAUCUGUUCCAAUGUAGCCUGCACGGUACCGCAAAACAGGCACAACAAGCAUUGAAGGGAACAUUUCCUAAGGACAAAAACGAGUUGCUUUCACAACAGUUCCAAAUCAUCCAUGAUGAUGAACCAGCUAUGUUCUGA